UGGUGGUGGGCUAUACCGACCCAUGCACACCCACACCCACACCCAGACACACACACACACACACACACACACAUACACACACACAAUAAAUUCAAGAGUUGCUAUAUUACCGACAGUUUUCAAGAAGCACCAGCAGCAAGAGACGCAGUGGCAAGCCUUCACCACAACACUCCACACUGCCUAAUCUUCGUCUAUUAAAGGCUCAGAUGUGUAGAUGGAAGGUGUGGGAGAAAGGAGAAUGAGUAACCUUGGAGGAGGAUGAAGAAGAAAUGAGAAAUAAAGGUGGAAUAGAAGCUGCUGCCAAGGUUUAAUAUUUAGUGUGAGGUGGACGUGGCGGAGGGUGGUGAAUUCACUGCGCACGUUACCGACACCUUGUACCACGCUGACUGGCCGCAGCUAUUCACUAAGGUCGGGCAGGCCUGUAUCUCCGUAUUCUGCUCUAGAAAUGAUGAGUUUGUGCAGCUGUGUGGCAUUGACGAGUGCCAGAAUAAGAAUGUCGGGUGUGUGUGAGCCCCUUUGCAUCAACACUUGAGAGUCAUACCGCUACUACUGCCAGUGCCGGCCAGGAAGUUCAACUAUGAAGUGUUGGUGUAAAUAGCAUGGAAUCACCACUACUACUACUACUACUACACUAGUUAAUUGGCAGUCUUACCUGGAAGAGACGGAAAUGGUACGUGUCCCUGUACCGUUGACAGUAUCAGUAGAGGACUUGACAGGGGCUGAGGCCUGAAGAUAGGGAGGGGCCCAAGGAUGAGUCAAAGCCUUUACCCUUCAUUUAUUCAUUAGAAGUGUUACCAAUAUUUUUAGUUCAGAUAUUAACAGAACACCAAGAAAAUUGAUUCACCUUUUACACUAAGUAAUAAUCUUGGUUAAGUGAUCAAUCCACACAUGUUGGUAUUUGAGAUCUAUAAGUGUUAUGAGAUUUAACACUCAAACACUUAUCUUUACUGUGAAAUUAUGAAGUACUUUAAAUUUCUUUGAUAGUGAUGGAAGUAAAGAUCUAAGUGUUGUGAGAUUUAACACUCAAACACUUAUCUUUACUGUGAAAUUAUGAAGUACUAUGAAUUUCUUUGAUUGUGAUGGAAGUUAAUGAUGCAGAAAAGUGUGCAUCUACCAUCUAUUUAUUUGUUCAAUCAAGAUUAAACAACGAGAAAGGUAAUAAUAGUUUUGGGCAUAGCAUACUCAUCAUGUGUUUUAGAUCCAAUACUGAUGAUAUCACUACUCUUGAGACAACAGAAUCCAUGUUGAAAAUAUAAGUAUGUAUUUAUUGAACUAAAAGUAAAACCCACUAAUAUCAGGAUUAAUGUGACAUACUUGCAUACUACCCAUUCUCCAGAAAGUGUUUUGUUAUUCAAUUAACAUGCCAUAUCAGUGGUUCAGAUCUUUGUUUGUUUUGUUUCACAUAUGAAGUGAAGAGAAGAGUGAAACUGUUACUUGAGAAAUGUGGAGGGAGUGAGUUUUUUAGUGUUGUUGUUAAAAUAUAUUGUCUUUUCCUGGCUAAAACCUCCAUAUCCUAUUGAAUAAAUAUUACUUCUAAAAACUACACUUGCCUUUCUAAGAGAGGAUGAUCGCUGGACUCCCGAAGACUGACUAGAUGGUGUGCGGGUCCGACCAGUGAAGGACGGUGUGCGUCUCAUUGGUGUUCGACCACCAUCAUUGGAAUCGAGAGACACUUCUGAGCCAGCACGACUUGGAGGCCGUGAGCCUGGACGGGACCCUGGGCCUCUGGACUGAGGACGGCUCCCUCCACGACUGCCAGGUUGACUUUCACCUAGGAAACAAGUACAUAUUGAGUUAACACAUAAAACUAGAUGUGAAGUCUUGAAACAAGCAAUUUGCAAAUAUUCAUUACUAAUGGAAAUUUUAUUUUAUUUAUUUAUUUUUUUUUUUACGUUAUGGCCUAUAGCGCCUGCAAGUUCACUUGAAGACUAUGGGAAGUGCUGUCCAGCCUCCACCCAUUAGCAGCGCAGGCAAUUUUAUUUAUAUUGGUAUCCAUAUUAGUGCCCAUAUCACCACCCAAGUGCAUCUUUGGUGUAAGGCAAUUACACCUCCACCUGGGUAUCAUGGUGAUAUGUAGGUAACUUUAAACCACUCCACAAAUGACAAAUGACAGUAUGUGGUGGGAUUUGAACCUACGCAUGGACGUCUGCCUGAUUACACGCUCGCCACCACUUCUCAUCUUUAGUAUGUGUGUGUUCUUGUAUUAGCUACGUAUGUAUUCCCUUAAUUGGAGUCAAGUCUAGUAUACGAGCAUACAAGAGAUGAAUAAACUACUGUACCCACCUGAUGUAUUGUAUGAUGAGCGAGAAGUAACUGGGGCAGAGGCCUUGCGUUUGCCUCCGUGUAGGUGGAAUCCAGAUGAGCCUCCUUCUUCACUGAAGGAAGAGUCAGGUGUGCCGGCACUGAAGGAAGCCCGGCCCAUUGCUGAGCUUUUGGCUGUUCUCUCACGAACCUUUAGAAAAUCACGGUAAUUUUGAUUCAGUAUAGAUACAAUUAAUUAUUUUGGAUAUGUUCAAAUUCAUCAGAACUGAAGCACUAUGAAUCAAUAUCUAAAUUCAUUGAAAUUUGUCACUUAAAAACUUAGGUAGCCAAAUAAAUUUAAAAAUGUAUAACAAAUUGCAGUUCAUGCCUGAUGACAAGCCCAAUUAAUGGCAAAUACAAAUAGCAGACUUUAAAACGAGCAAAAUCUACAAUAUGCUUCACAACAAGUAACCUUCACAGUUUCAUCCACAUACCUUAAGAAUACUUGGAUUUAAAAUGAAAUGCCACUCACCAUGUCUCAUUUAUGAAAAGUUGUAUUUAUGAAGACAGUUAUUCUUGUGUGCAACUCACUCAAUGUAUACAUUUGUAUGUAAUCUGACUUUACUGUAACAUGUUGAUUUUAAGAUUCUGACUUUGCAUUAAAAAUGUUUAAAAAU
Long non-coding RNA from Portunus trituberculatus (swimming crab), 2918 nucleotides. RefSeq lists it as uncharacterized. NCBI's taxonomy places the organism in Eukaryota, Metazoa, Arthropoda, Malacostraca, Decapoda, Portunidae. The record is from RefSeq and is a predicted model, not a curated record. The transcript has 5 exons.